Molecule: transfer RNA, 75 nt
Filed under: Sulfurovum sp.
Lineage: Bacteria; Pseudomonadati; Campylobacterota; Epsilonproteobacteria; Campylobacterales; Sulfurovaceae
Also listed under: 2 other names
Description: tRNA-Asn
Rfam family: tRNA
About the family: Transfer RNA (tRNA) molecules are approximately 80 nucleotides in length. Their secondary structure includes four short double-helical elements and three loops (D, anti-codon, and T loops). Further hydrogen bonds mediate the characteristic L-shaped molecular structure. tRNAs have two regions of fundamental functional importance: the anti-codon, which is responsible for specific mRNA codon recognition, and the 3' end, to which the tRNAs corresponding amino acid is attached (by aminoacyl-tRNA synthetases). tRNAs cope with the degeneracy of the genetic code in two manners: having more than one tRNA (with a specific anti-codon) for a particular amino acid; and 'wobble' base-pairing, i.e. permitting non-standard base-pairing at the 3rd anti-codon position.
Source: RNAcentral
UCCGGACUAGCUCAGCGGUAGAGUAGGUGACUGUUAAUCACUUGGUCGCAGGUUCGAAUCCUGCGUCCGGAGCCA